RNAcentral lists this non-coding RNA (248 nucleotides) under Hyaloperonospora arabidopsidis Emoy2. RNAcentral describes it as "Bacterial small subunit ribosomal RNA". It matches the Rfam family "Bacterial small subunit ribosomal RNA", at positions 945 to 1216 of the family's 1533-position model. The record is from Rfam by way of RNAcentral. Lineage: Eukaryota; Oomycota; Peronosporomycetes; Peronosporales; Peronosporaceae.
UAAAGUUCGAGUACAUGUAAUAACUUACCAACCCCCGCUAAUGGUUUUAUAAAAUUUAUACAAGGAAUAGGCGUUGCAUGGCUGUCGUCAGCUCGUGUUGUGAAAUGUUUGGUUAAAUCCUUUAACGAGCGCAACCCUUAUUGUUAGUUACUAAUUUAUUAUAAAAAUAAAAGGACUCUAAAAUUAAUGAUAGGUUAAUGGAAGGUGAGGAUGACGUCAAGUCUUCAUGGCCCUUAUGAGUUGGGCUA